AUGAACGCUGGCGGCGUGCCUAAUACAUGCAAGUCGAGCGAACAGACGAGGAGCUUGCUCCUCUGACGUUAGCGGCGGACGGGUGAGUAACACGUGGAUAACCUACCUAUAAGACUGGGAUAACUUCGGGAAACCGGAGCUAAUACCGGAUAAUAUAUUGAACCGCAUGGUUCAAUAGUGAAAGACGGUUUUGCUGUCACGUAUAGAUGGAUCCGCGCCGCAUUAGCUAGUUGGUAAGGUAACGGCUUACCAAGGCAACGAUGCGUAGCCGACCUGAGAGGGUGAUCGGCCACACUGGAACUGAGACACGGUCCAGACUCCUACGGGAGGCAGCAGUAGGGAAUCUUCCGCAAUGGGCGAAAGCUUGACGGAGCAACGCCGCGUGAGUGAUGAAGGUCUUCGGAUCGUAAAACUCUGUUAUUAGGGAAGAACAAAUGUGUAAGUAACUAUGCACGUCUUGACGGUACCUAAUCAGAAAGCCACGGCUAACUACGUG
Molecule: ribosomal RNA, 496 nt
Filed under: uncultured bacterium
Lineage: Bacteria
Description: partial 16S ribosomal RNA
Rfam family: Bacterial small subunit ribosomal RNA
Source: RNAcentral